GGGGUUGUGGCUCAGUGGCAGAGUGCGUGUCUAGCAUGUAUGAGGCACUGGGUUCGAUCCCCUCCGCACCA
This 71-nucleotide transfer RNA is filed under the name Marmota monax (woodchuck). RNAcentral's name for it is "tRNA.Ala". The record is from RNAcentral. Lineage: Eukaryota; Metazoa; Chordata; Mammalia; Rodentia; Sciuridae.